This 1353-nucleotide ribosomal RNA is filed under the name Lactiplantibacillus plantarum. RNAcentral describes it as "bacterial SSU rRNA". It matches the Rfam family "Bacterial small subunit ribosomal RNA", at positions 69 to 1397 of the family's 1533-position model. Lineage: Bacteria; Bacillati; Bacillota; Bacilli; Lactobacillales; Lactobacillaceae. The record is from RNAcentral.
AUUGAUUGGUGCUUGCAUCAUGAUUUACAUUUGAGUGAGUGGCGAACUGGUGAGUAACACGUGGGAAACCUGCCCAGAAGCGGGGGAUAACACCUGGAAACAGAUGCUAAUACCGCAUAACAACUUGGACCGCAUGGUCCGAGCUUGAAAGAUGGCUUCGGCUAUCACUUUUGGAUGGUCCCGCGGCGUAUUAGCUAGAUGGUGGGGUAACGGCUCACCAUGGCAAUGAUACGUAGCCGACCUGAGAGGGUAAUCGGCCACAUUGGGACUGAGACACGGCCCAAACUCCUACGGGAGGCAGCAGUAGGGAAUCUUCCACAAUGGACGAAAGUCUGAUGGAGCAACGCCGCGUGAGUGAAGAAGGGUUUCGGCUCGUAAAACUCUGUUGUUAAAGAAGAACAUAUCUGAGAGUAACUGUUCAGGUAUUGACGGUAUUUAACCAGAAAGCCACGGCUAACUACGUGCCAGCAGCCGCGGUAAUACGUAGGUGGCAAGCGUUGUCCGGAUUUAUUGGGCGUAAAGCGAGCGCAGGCGGUUUUUUAAGUCUGAUGUGAAAGCCUUCGGCUCAACCGAAGAAGUGCAUCGGAAACUGGGAAACUUGAGUGCAGAAGAGGACAGUGGAACUCCAUGUGUAGCGGUGAAAUGCGUAGAUAUAUGGAAGAACACCAGUGGCGAAGGCGGCUGUCUGGUCUGUAACUGACGCUGAGGCUCGAAAGUAUGGGUAGCAAACAGGAUUAGAUACCCUGGUAGUCCAUACCGUAAACGAUGAAUGCUAAGUGUUGGAGGGUUUCCGCCCUUCAGUGCUGCAGCUAACGCAUUAAGCAUUCCGCCUGGGGAGUACGGCCGCAAGGCUGAAACUCAAAGGAAUUGACGGGGGCCCGCACAAGCGGUGGAGCAUGUGGUUUAAUUCGAAGCUACGCGAAGAACCUUACCAGGUCUUGACAUACUAUGCAAAUCUAAGAGAUUAGACGUUCCCUUCGGGGACAUGGAUACAGGUGGUGCAUGGUUGUCGUCAGCUCGUGUCGUGAGAUGUUGGGUUAAGUCCCGCAACGAGCGCAACCCUUAUUAUCAGUUGCCAGCAUUAAGUUGGGCACUCUGGUGAGACUGCCGGUGACAAACCGGAGGAAGGUGGGGAUGACGUCAAAUCAUCAUGCCCCUUAUGACCUGGGCUACACACGUGCUACAAUGGAUGGUACAACGAGUUGCGAACUCGCGAGAGUAAGCUAAUCUCUUAAAGCCAUUCUCAGUUCGGAUUGUAGGCUGCAACUCGCCUACAUGAAGUCGGAAUCGCUAGUAAUCGCGGAUCAGCAUGCCGCGGUGAAUACGUUCCCGGGCCUUGUACACACCGCCCGU